RNAcentral lists this ribosomal RNA (691 nucleotides) under uncultured bacterium. RNAcentral's name for it is "bacterial SSU rRNA". It matches the Rfam family "Bacterial small subunit ribosomal RNA", at positions 32 to 715 of the family's 1533-position model. The record is from RNAcentral.
AACGCUAGCUACAGGCUUAACACAUGCAAGUCGAGGGGCAGCAUAAAAGUAGCAAUACUUUGGUGGCGACCGGCGCACGGGUGAGUAACGCGUAUGCAACCUACCUAUCAGAGGGGAAUAACCCGGCGAAAGUCGGACUAAUACCGCAUAAAACAGGGGCACCGCAUGGUGAUAUUUGUUAAAGAAAUUCGCUGAUAGAUGGGUAUGCGUUCCAUUAGGUAGUUGGUGAGGUAACGGCUCACCAAGCCGACGAUGGAUAGGGGAACUGAGAGGUUGGUCCCCCACACUGGUACUGAGACACGGACCAGACUCCUACGGGAGGCAGCAGUGAGGAAUAUUGGUCAAUGGGCGGGAGCCUGAACCAGCCAAGUCGCGUGAAGGAAGAAGGAUCUAUGGUUCGUAAACUUCUUUUGCAGGGGAAUAAAGUGCGGGACGUGUCCUGUUUUGUAUGUACCCUGAGAAUAAGGAUCGGCUAACUCCGUGCCAGCAGCCGCGGUAAUACGGAGGAUCCGAGCGUUAUCCGGAUUUAUUGGGUUUAAAGGGUGCGUAGGUGGUUUGAUAAGUCAGCGGUGAAAGUUUGCAGCUUAACUGUAAAAAUGCCGUUGAAACUGUCGGACUUGAGUGUAAAUGAGGUAGGCGGAAUGCGUGGUGUAGCGGUGAAAUGCAUAGAUAUCACGAAGAACUCCGAUUG